RNAcentral lists this ribosomal RNA (88 nucleotides) under Jeotgalibacillus sp. R-1-5s-1. Lineage: Bacteria; Bacillati; Bacillota; Bacilli; Caryophanales; Caryophanaceae. The record is from RNAcentral.
CCGUUCCCAUGCCGAACACGGAAGUUAAGCUCUUCAGCGCCGAUGGUAGUUGGGGGUUUCCCCCUGUGAGAGUAGGACGUCGCUAGGC